UUGACUUCCUGGAGGGACGGGCGGGCUUGAGUCACCGCACUGGAAAGAGCGAGCGUCUCACGUGAACGCUUGCGGCGCGCGGGGAACGCCGACGUUCCCCAGCGGAGUCCAUCCCAAGGCCGGUCUGCUCUGGCAGGAUGGCGGCUUUAGUUUCUGUGACGGUCUGAUACUGCGGCGGCUCACCAUGGCCCUGCGGGCAGUGUGGCUCGUCCGUCACGAGCCGGGAACUCCACUCGGUGGCACCGUCAGGUUCUCCAGACGAUACCCUACUGUUGAAAAGCGAGCCAAAAUCUUCAAUGGAGUGAGUUAUGUUCCUGUACCCGAAGAUGGUCCCUUCCUGAAGGCAUUACUCUUCCAACUGAGAUUAUCGGGUGAUGAUAAAGACUUUGUGGAGAGGCGUGAUAGCUGCUCACACACCAACAAAUCACCCGUCUAUGGACUUUCAGUAGGCGGUGAAGAACUCUGGCCAGUCAUUGCUUUUCUGAGGAACGAUAUGAUUUAUGCAAGUGUUCCACUGGUUGAACAAGCCCUAUCCCCCCGCCCAUCUGUAGUUAGUGUUAGUGGAGUCUCACAAGGCUUGGAACUGCUUUUCGGGAUACAGGAUUUUCUUUACUCCUCAAGUCAGAAAAGUGACACAGACCUAAACACAAAGUUGAGUCAGUUGCCUGACCUGCUUCUGCAGGCUUGUCCUUUGGGUACUCUGUUGGACACUAACUUGCAGAAUUUACUGAAUAGUGCUAAUUUCUCAUCUGUGACUCAGCCGCACAAACAGCCAGCAUGGAAAGUUGGAACAUACAAAGGAAAGCCUCAGAUUUCUAUUUCUAUCACUGAAAAAGUGAAGUGCAUGCAGUAUGGUAAACAGGAUGCAGCAGACACGUGGCAAGUUGUUGGGACAGUCACUUGCAAGUGUGACUUGGAAGGAAUCAUGCCAAAUGUUACCAUCAGCUUGAAUCUCCCCACCAAUGGAUCUCCACUUCAAGAUAUUAUCGUUCAUCCUUGCGUGACUUCUCUUGAUUCAGCCAUUCUGACCGCUAGUAGCAUUGAUACAAUGGACGAUUCUGCGUUUAGUGGGCCUUAUAAGUUCCCGUUCUCUCCGCCUUUGGAGUCAUUCAGCUUAUGCCACUACACUUCUCUGGUCCCUGUCCCACCAAUAUUGGGUUCUUAUCACAUGAAAGAAGAAGAAGUACAACUGAAAAUAACAGUUAAUUUAAAACUUCAUGAAAGUGUAAAAAAUAAUUUUGAAAUCUGUGAGGCUCAUAUACCUUUUUACAACAGAGGUCCGAUUACCCAUUUGGAAUACAAAGUUAGUUUCGGUCAACUUGAAGUAUAUCGAGAAAAAAGUUUAUUGGUCUGGAUUAUUGGCCAGAAGUUCCCCAAAUCAAUGGAAAUUAGUCUUUCUGGAACUCUAACGUUUGGCGCCAAGGGCCAUAACAAGCAGCCAUUUGAUCACAUUUGCAUUGGAAAUACAGCAUAUGUAAAGGUGUCUUGGAGCAAGCGUGAGUCCUUCUGGCCAAAGCAAACUCUGAGGACGAUGUGAGCAUGAAGGCUGACUAAUAUCUUCAUCUGAACAAUGGGUUAGGGCCAACAUGGCCCAGUGGGUCAAAGCUCUACCUAAGUUCAGUCCCUGGAAUUGAGAGUGGAAAGAGCCAGCUCUCAAACAUUGUCCUCGGCCAUCUCCAUCCACACAUGGCAUGUAAGUGCCUGUGCUUACACACAACAGCACAUAGUGCGCAUGCCGCAUAAACAUACUUCAUUUUAGGAUCUCAGAUUAUACACUCACUGGAUGUUAUGCCGAUCAGCAUUCAGUUCAAGUUUUUGCAUCAGGAAAACCAAAAAUAAAUCGGAAACUAAUUUCUUCUGACUAUUACAUCUGGAAUUCUGAAGCUCCUGCUCCAGUAACAUAUGCGUCGUUGUUGCCAUGAUUUUCUCAUGGGAUUUAUUUAUUUCUUCAAAUGGGAUUUAUGUGAUGUAACAUUCUGUAGUAGAAUCAUAUUAUUUUUAUUUCUUACAUGUAUUCAUAUAACCUGUGACUGAAAAAUCACUGAAUGAUUUCUUUAUCCAAACAUUUAUAUCUGAUGUCUUUAGUCUGAUACAGUGUGAAAAAAUUUAUUCAAGGCUAAUGUCUUCCUUUCUUUGUUGCCCUCUGAUUUCAUGCCAGUGUGACUCAGGACAUAUGAAAGUAGUGAUUCAUUUUGACUCAAGACCAGUCUUGGUGUCCAUGCCAUAUGUUCCUUCCUAGAACUGUGGCAGGCCUCCAGGCGCAGGCCCAGCCAGGACAGGCCCAGCCGUGGCCUCCUGUGGGACAGGCUGUGCUAAUCAGUCAGAGUCCUUUCCUUAAGUAAGAGCUCAGCCUUCCCCAGCACAGUCUCAGGCAGCUGUCCUGUGGGUUGUAGGGACCUACAAGGAAACCGUGCUUAUCCAAACCUCAGCAAGCAGCAUGCUAUUUCAGAAUGGCCACGAUCUGGUUAAAUAAUCACGAAACACGGAGAUACUGCUCAAAUAAUAAGCUGCUCUUCACAUCCCUCCUCCUGGCCAAUAAAGAACCUGCAUAACUGUUCAGUGUUCUUGAGCUACUCUUCUGGGCAGGGUCACUGUGCAGCUGAGGAUGACCCUGAAUCCCUCUCGAGUGCUGGGAUUUCAGUGGUGUAUCACCAUGUCCGGUUUGUUCUCCGCUUCUAGGGAGCAAAUUCAGCUUCAUGCAUGCCAGGCAAGCCCCCUCCCAGCUGAACUAUGAUGGUAACCCAAUAAUAACCCCUCUCAGGCUCCUUUAACUAACUUAGUAAUCUGCCUGAAUGACGUGUUUAGGGUACCAGGCAACCAGGCUGCAGUACUUCAGAAGAAGAGCACAGAGGCCUGUGAUUAUUCAGUGUCCUUGGACAAGGUUUUAAAAAUAAUUCUAGCUAUUAUACUCUUUUUUUUUUUUUAAAUUAAAGUCUGUUAACAAAUGAACUCAGGUAAACUCAAAAGCCCUUUCAUGGGUAAAAAAUCAUUUACACUAAUGUAAUGUAGCAUAUUUUUCUUAAGUCUGUCCCUGUCAUUUUCUCUACCAUUUUCUUGAUUCCUUCGAAACCACCUACCGUGUUCUUUACCCUCUACCCAUUUCCACCAUCUCGCUUCAUGUUCUGCUUCAGAGCCAUGUACUGUCUGUCGCCAAGCUGAAUAUUAAGUGGCAAAAAAAAAAAUUAAAGAUCAUGAAAACUUAACUGAUGUCAACUGAAGCCUGACCUCCCCCUCAAAGAAAUUAGUGACAUACUAAUAUUUAAUUGGAUUUAUCCUGAGUUCUAUUUCUUUGUUGUCUUUUUUAAAAAUGAGUCUUCUAAAAAGGGCUUAGAGAAAGCUGCUGAUUGUUCAGAGAAGAGUUAAAACCAUUAAGGAGGAAGUGUGUAUAAACUAGGACUUGAAAUACAUUUUCAAUUAGGGUCAUUCCUACUCAUUAUAAACCCUCUUUGCCUGCAGAGCUUCUCACAGCCUCAAGGUCUGUUUUCACAGUCAUCCUAAGUAAGAAGAGGGUAAUUGCCAGACCAGGACGGUAACUUGCUGUCCCGGCUCACCCAAAGGAAGUCAGCAGUGAAAGAAAACAGUUCUGUGGUUUCUAUCACUCCUCAACUCAAAGUGUAACAUGGUACUUUAAGUUAUUAGGGUAGCCCUUUGGAAAUUGUAACUGUACAAAUGCUUAGCAAAUUGUUCUAAGGUAGACAGGACACAUUCAUCUGGAAAAAUUCAAUAUAUAAUCCCUGAGGCAAACUCUCUUCAUAAACAAAUUAGAUAAACCAGUGACCUCUAAUUUGACAUUUCUAGAAACCUAGGGAAAAUCUAGGGGUUCCUAGAAAAGCAUGGGGGUGACAGGGAAGCAAUGCCAUCUGUUGCGGUUCCGUUCUGACAACACUAGGGAGCUAAAAGCCAGCCCACAUUUCAUCCCAUUGAGAUCAGCUGGGCACACUGAUGCUUUUGAUUUUGUCUAGAAACCUGUCACUUCAGGAUAAUUUCUGAAGACAAAGCUUGUUCCCGGUUUGGUAGGUGACCUGUUUAAUGUUUUCCCUGUGUCUGGGAGCUCCUUAGUGUAAUUAGCGACCUUUGAACUCCACAGCUAAUCCUGAGCUAUUUUGUAUUCCUUACUCAUCUUUAAGGCUGGACCUUUCUUUUCUUCAGAGUCCACUGCCACAAUUAAAGAAGAAACAGCUGCAUUUCAAAGGGAUUCCGAUUCCAGAAGCUUAACUGUGAUUGACAUGUUCUUAUUCUAAGCUAUAAGACACUCUCAGAGUCCUUUCUUUGGUUAGAACUUCAAUCAUUUUCUAAAAAAUUAUCUCACUAUGGAUUUUAUUCAUUUUCUUUGAUAGCUAUUCUUUGCAAUUUUUUUUUAACUUGAAAGGUGCUUUGCAUUUGCAGUGAAUAUGAGCAUCGACUUCCAGUGACAGAUUUGGACGGGGUUAGACCUGCUCUAGAUACCAUGUUGCUAAAUUCCCUUUUAGUGUCAAAAUAUGAUUAUGAAAUCUGAUAUCUAUGCUGUAGUUACUCUUACUCAACCCAAAGGGUUAAAGAAAGUUUUAAAUAUCUGCGAAUGAACUCUAGAAAAGAUGGGUCCUGAUUUGGGUAAAACCUGUUCUCCAUUUAUGUACUAAGCAACAUUGUAAGGCUCAGGAUGUAGUACUCGACAGUGGGAAUGUCUUACACUGUUAAACAAUUGACCCUGCUAACUGGGAAUGUACCAUUAGCCCAUCUCAAAGUCUUUUUUUUUCUUGCCAUCUCAGUAUUUCUACUGUUGCAAUAUUGUGGUCUUAGAUUUCAUGUGCUGUGUUUAACAAAGACAUUUUGCACAUAGUAACCAUUGCUGGUUUUUUUUUUUUUUUUCCUGUUUCUUGUUACAAUAUUUAAAAAAAAGAAGAAGAAGAAAAACAAAAAACCUUAAGAGGCCCACAUAGAUUCCUCCAGUGCCAGUGGGAGGUUGUAGGUGGAGUUCCUCCCCAGGGCUUGCUGCCCUAGCAGAGGACUUGUUGCGGAGACAAAGGUCAAAAAAGGGAUGUUAAUAAACAGUCCUCAGGUUUAAGGGACUUUUUAGGAUUACAUCUUAAAUUCCAACAAAUCAGAUUUAGGAGUUGCUGAAAGUGAAAUUGAUCCAUCCCUCAUGCAAACUUGGCAAUACUUUCCUGUCCCGUUUGCUGGAUAGUCAGCUGUAUGAUCAGAUUAGAAGCCAUUGUACCCCGCUGCUGAAAGGAAAGAGAGGCAAAAAGCUAAACACGGGAUGAAUUCUGAACCUUUUAACCUGGCUGGAGUAUGUUGGUUGCUGUUAUGCAAAUACCUCCAAUCCUCUGCUAAGUUCUGUGGAAAUAAUUUUCUUGAAUGACAGGUUGAUUCAGCAAGGAUUCAGUCGCUGAUUAAUCCCCCUUUGAUCUAGGGUAUUUCACUUAACUACCAGUUACCUCUUUCUGACAAAGUGCAGCCGAGAUUAGGGAGAUCACUAGAACACGACCAGCCCAUGCGUUUAUUCUCCAUAACCUUUCAAAGCAAGGGCCAAGAAUGCAAUUUAUUCCCAGUUUUUGAAGAUGCAAAGUCCUGUCUGCUAAGUUACAAAGUCAAUUGAAUACCAAAUGAAGUUUAUUUCUUAUGUAAGAGAACAAACUUUUUUUUUUUUUGCUCUGCGGAACAAUGAUAUUAGGAAUCACAGGCUUUGAAGAGAGUAAAAACAAAGACUACAUUCCAAGUACAACUUUUUUGUCUCAUGUGCAAGAGUGCAUUCUCACUGCCCCUAGAUAAGCCAAGAAUCAAAGGUGUGGCUGCAGUUAUGCUGAGAAAACUCUUGUGUUUCAUGGGAUCGCCCCAGCCAUCCCCGGCACUACUGAAAUAUGCACUGCUCCCUACAGCAAGGGAGACAAGCGGCACGCAAUCUUGUUAGCUUUUCUCUUCUUGAGGAGGUGGAGCCUUAUGUUCUCAUUAAAAUAACUGCAUUCAUUUUCCCUAAGUGGUAUCAUUGCCAAAGUAAGUCAUUCUCUUAAGUGUCUUCUGCCUUUUGCUUUAUCUUUUCCCCCAUAUACUUAAACUUUGAAAUAGUCUGUGCAGUAAUUCAGAUGUGUUUCAUGCUAUUUUCACAGAAUUCACUUUUUUAAAACGAUUAUCAGUAUUAGUAUUUUUCUAGAUGUCAAAUUAUUCCUUAAAUAUCCUUCAAAACCUAUAAAAUAUAGAUACAUAAUAUUACACAAUAAUUUGUAACAAAUUUUGUUUUUAAUUAUUGUUGUUAUUAAUGACUAACUUUAUAAAUAAGACAAAACCUUUAAAUGUUAUAUAGUUGCUCAUUAUCCUGUAGUAAUCUACAAUAAAAGCUACUGUUUAAAUCA
Molecule: RNA transcript, 6329 nt
Organism: Alexandromys fortis (reed vole)
Lineage: Eukaryota; Metazoa; Chordata; Mammalia; Rodentia; Cricetidae
Gene: Ap5m1
Gene name: adaptor related protein complex 5 subunit mu 1
Exons: 9
Source: RefSeq, a predicted model, not a curated record